This 341-nucleotide long non-coding RNA is filed under the name Setaria italica (foxtail millet). RNAcentral's name for it is "long non-coding RNA (SITA_LNC007257)". The record is from RNAcentral. Lineage: Eukaryota; Viridiplantae; Streptophyta; Magnoliopsida; Poales; Poaceae.
AUACACAGAAAAGCAGGACCCUCAAGUCCUACUUGCUCUCACAAAGAAGAAGUUUUGUGUAUGAAUUAACUUUUAUACGGCCAUUUGAGAUACUUCCUGCAUGUGUUGUCGACUUGUCGGUCAGUGGUGAUAGCUGACUUGUAGCAAUAGCUACACUUCUUGCGUUUCUUUGUUUCUCUCUGACGGAGUUAUGAUUUCUUCUGCAGAUAUAAGGUUUUCACCUCGGUGUUCUGAUGAACAGAUGAAGGAUGAUGAAAGGAAGCACCAAAUCUGCUUAUUUCCAGCUCACUAAACGGCUGCACAUAGGAAUAAGCUGAAGGAUGUAUAUUAUUGGUCUGUUG